AUGGCCAAGAAGAAGCUGCCGCAGAGGCUCUUCUCCACCUUGCUCUCCCUCAUCUUCCACUCGAGGCCAUGGCUCUCAAGCAGCAAGGGUAGCAGCAGCGCCGCCGCCGGAUUCCCAUCCUCGCCGCUGCAGCGACAGCACCUCUCCAUGGCGAAUGACAGGCUCGCCGCGGCGCGGACCCUCGUCGUCGACGUCGACGGCGGCCUCCUCCGCUCGUCACCCUCCGGCCUCUUCCCCUACUUCAUGCUCGUGGCGCUGGAGGCGGGAGGGCUCCUGCGAGGCGCCGUGCUCCUGCUCCUCUACCCUCUGCUCUGCUGCGUGGGCAUCGGCGGCGACCUGGCGCUGAGGGUCAUGGCCAUGGCGGCCUUCUGCGGCCUCCAGGAGAGCCGGUUCCGCGCCGGCCGCGCCGUGUUGCCCAAGUGGUUCAUGGAGGACGUGGCCGUGGAAGGGUUCGAGGCGAUGAGAGGCGCCAAGAGGAGGGUCUGCGUGACGAAUAUGCCCAGGGUGAUGGUGGAGGGGUUCCUGUGGGAAUAUCUCGGGGCGGACGUGGUAGUCGGCAGGCGGAUGAAGGUGGUCUGUGGGUUCUACACCGGUCUCAUGGAGGAGGAAGAAGUGGCGUUGGAGAAGAAGAAGAUCAUGCUGGAGAGUGAUGCUGUGGGCCUCUCUGGCUCCUUGGAGUUUCUCCAACAUCCUCUCCCACUUUGUUGCAAGGAGGUCUACCACGUGACGCAGGAGGACAAGCCCGGGUGGCAAGCGCUGCCAAGGGCCAAGUACCCGAAGGCCAUGGUGUUCCACGACGGCCGGCUCGCGUUCCGACCAACCGCCGGCAGCACGCUGGCCAUGUUCAUGUGGCUCCCUAUCGGCGCCGCCCUGGGUGCCGCCCGUCUCGCCGUCGCGCUCACCGUGCCGUACAGGUACUCCACACCCAUCCUGGCGGCCACCGGCAUGUCUUGGCGGCUCAAGGGAGAGCGGCCGGGUCCCCCGCCUGGCCACGGCCGCGGCCGCGGGCAGCUGUUCGUGUGCAACCACCGCACGCUCAUCGACCCGGUGUACGUGUCGGUGGCGCUGGACCGGCAGGUGCGCGCCGUGUCCUACAGCCUCAGCCGGCUGUCGGAGCUCAUCUCGCCGAUCGGGCGCACCGUGCGGCUGACGCGCGACCGCGACAGCGACGGCCGUGCCAUGGCGCGCCUCCUGGACCGCGGCGACCUCGUCGUCGUCUGCCCCGAGGGCACCACCUGCCGCGAGCCGUACCUGCUGCGGUUCAGCCCGCUGUUCGCCGAGCUCAGCGACGACGUUGUCCCGGUCGGCAUCGCCGUCGAGACGGCCAUGUUCUACGCGACGACGGCGGGCGGGUUCAAGUGCCUCGACCCGCUCUACUACAUGGUGAACCCGAGGAUGUGCUACACGGUGCAGUUCCUGGAGCGGGUGCGCACCACGGCGGCGAUGGGGAGGGAGGUGCCUAGCACCGACUUGGCCAACCUCGUGCAGAGGAAGAUGGGGGAAGCGCUCGGCUACGGAUGCACCAUGCUCACAAGGAAGGAUAAGUACCUCAUGCUCGCCGGCAACGAUGGCGUCGUCAGAGCCAGCGACAAAUGCUCUGCUCCUCCCGGAGGGAGAAGAGCUCACUAG
This 1629-nucleotide ribosomal RNA is filed under the name Triticum aestivum (bread wheat). Its description in RNAcentral is "partial small subunit ribosomal RNA". Lineage: Eukaryota; Viridiplantae; Streptophyta; Magnoliopsida; Poales; Poaceae. The record is from RNAcentral.